RNAcentral lists this ribosomal RNA (305 nucleotides) under uncultured bacterium. RNAcentral describes it as "bacterial SSU rRNA". It matches the Rfam family "Bacterial small subunit ribosomal RNA", at positions 338 to 635 of the family's 1533-position model. The record is from RNAcentral.
CCUACGGGAGGCAGCAGUAGGGAAUCUUCCACAAUGGACGAAAGUCUGAUGGAGCAACGCCGCGUGAGUGAAGAAGGGUUUCGGCUCGUAAAGCUCUGUUGGUAGUGAAGAAAGAUAGAGGUAGUAACUGGCCUUUAUUUGACGGUAAUUACUUAGAAAGUCACGGCUAACUACGUGCCAGCAGCCGCGGUAAUACGUAGGUGGCAAGCGUUGUCCGGAUUUAUUGGGCGUAAAGCGAGUGCAGGCGGGUCAAUAAGUCUGGUGUGAAAGACUUUGGCUCAACCGGAGGAAUGGAUCAAAAAAAG